GAAAAUAUUUGCUCAUUAAAUCUCCUAUGCAAAUUAACAACUGUGGUUUCUAUGCAUCAUCUUGAGCUUUAACGAAUCUAAACUUAAAUCUGGUCAAGAAAACGUCCCAAGGAAGAAUAUGAAGAACCACCAUCCGACAAAGCCUUCUUGCUCUUUUCACUAAUUUCCUUCACCCUCGCUCUUAAAUCACUGUCCUUCUCCAUCACUUGCCUUAUCCCUCUCUCUAUCUCCUCUGCACUCACCACCACUUCACUGUCCUGAUUAUAAUCUAUCUUAAUUUCCACACCCAAUCCCAAAUCCUUCACCAGCUCAAACGCAUUUAGUUGUUGUUCUGCGUACAAUGGCCACGUGGCAACCGGCACACCACACCAUAUGCUCUCCAGCGUAGAAUUCCACCCACAAUGGGACACAAACCCUCCGACCCCCGGGUGGGCCAAAAUGGCCACUUGUGGAGCCCAUCCUAUGACCUUCCCUAUCCCAGCCGUCCGAUCAAGAAACCCUUCAGGCAAGACUCCCUUGACAUCCGCAUAAUCGGUCGGCAUCCCCAUCUUACCUUUUGGCUCGGGCUUCCGUAGGGACCACAAGAACCGCUGCCCGCUUUGCUCCAGCGCACACGCUAUCUCCUUCACCUGCGCCUCACUAAAGCUUCCCAUGCUCCCAAAGCACAGGAACACCACCGAGGAAGGAGGCUGAUCAUCAAGCCACUCCAAGAUAUCAGACUUCUGAAUGGACUGGUCCGAGCCAACGUGGCCAUCAUCACUCUUCAGAUUCAACAGGGGCCCCACAGGGUACACCGGUGGGAAUUUACCAUCAGAAAGAGAACGAAGAGCAUGUGGUUCCAGCUCCCUGAAAGUGUUUAUCAAAAUACCCUUGGUUUGUCUAAACCCCGCUGCAAAAUCGAUGAAGUCUGUAGCGCCUUCCUUCGUUCGCAUCACUCUCGGCCAGACUCCAGCAGGCACGGGGUUGAUGAAACUCGGGACGAUCGACUCAGAUUCCCACCCAGUUAUCUCAGCAACGUCCUUCCCCUGCUCAUCAUGAAGUGACUGGAGGUGGAACCAGAACCCUAGAGUCGCUGCGCCGGAGGUGAAGAAGAGGUAGGAAGGAAUCUGGAAUUCGUCCGCCACGUUGAUCAUGGGGGUGCAGAACAUGUCGAUGACAAUCCCGGCAAGCUCGGCCUGAGCGGACUCAGCGAGUAACUUUGUGACGGCAUCUUUGACGUGGGUUUUGUGGCCUUGGACGAAUGUUUUGAUGAAGGAAGUGAAGGCAAGGCCCUGUGUGUCGAUGUGGGACUCCGGGAGGUUGACGAAGCUGAUGCGGUGUGAGAUUGAAGGGUCUGUAUUGGUGAAGAGCUUGUCGAAGGGGAGCUUCAUGAUGAGGAUGGUGAUGAAGAGCUGGUCAUCUCGAGCAACGAGUUGUUUCGCGAUCUCGACCGUUGACACGAUGUGGCCAACGCCUGGGGCUGGGAUGAACACAAGUUGUGCUGGUCUCUUCAUUAUUUGAUUAAUUUUGGG
RNAcentral lists this long non-coding RNA (1511 nucleotides) under Prunus dulcis (almond). RNAcentral's name for it is "sRNA ncRNA". The record is from RNAcentral. Lineage: Eukaryota; Viridiplantae; Streptophyta; Magnoliopsida; Rosales; Rosaceae.